CCUACGGGAGGCAGCAGUAGGGAAUAUUGCUCAAUGGGGGAAACCCUGAAGCAGCAACGCCGCGUGGAGGAUGAAGGUUUUCGGAUUGUAAACUCCUUUUGUUAGAGAAGAUAAUGACGGUAUCUAACGAAUAAGCACCGGCUAACUCCGUGCCAGCAGCCGCGGUAAUACGGAAGGUGCAAGCGUUACUCGGAAUCACUGGGCGUAAAGAGCGCGUAGGCGGGAUAGCAAGUCAGAUGUGAAAUCCUAGGGCUUAACCAUAGAACUGCAUUUGAAACUGUUAUUCUAGAGUAUGGGAGAGGUAGGUGGAAUUCUUGGUGUAGGGGUAAAAUCCGUAGAGAUCAAGAGGAAUACUCAUUGCGAAGGCGACCUGCUAGAACAUAACUGACGCUGAUGCGCGAAAGCGUGGGGAGCAAACAGGAUUAGAUACCCGGGUAGUC
This 440-nucleotide ribosomal RNA is filed under the name uncultured bacterium. Its description in RNAcentral is "partial 16S ribosomal RNA". It matches the Rfam family "Bacterial small subunit ribosomal RNA", at positions 338 to 795 of the family's 1533-position model. The record is from RNAcentral.